RNAcentral lists this unclassified non-coding RNA (20 nucleotides) under Chlamydomonas reinhardtii. Its description in RNAcentral is "small RNA Cre_2148". The record is from RNAcentral. Lineage: Eukaryota; Viridiplantae; Chlorophyta; Chlorophyceae; Chlamydomonadales; Chlamydomonadaceae.
UAAGGCCUCAACCAAAGGGC